AAUCCAGAGUGGACGUACUACUCUGUUGAUAUACGAGAAAGUCUCCAAUGUGUUGGUAACUUCCAGCAGCACAGACUUGGUUGAGUUCAGUGCUUCUGUCUCUCUGUCCUGCUCUGCCUCUGGAUCCUCUCUCUCUUUCCUCUGGUUGAACGGCAGCUCUGAGGUUACAGCAAGUGACAGAGUUCAGCUCACUGAUGGAGGCUCCAGUCUGACUAUAAUCAAUGUGACCCGCUUUGACCAGGGACCAUUCAGGUGUCGUGUGUCCAACCCUGUCAGUACUGGUACCAGUGAUCCAGUAAACCUCUCCAUCAGCUAUGGCCCAGAAAAUAUCAAUUUGAUAUUAUCUCCACCACAAGGAUACUUUGCUGUGGGGUCAGACAUCAGCCUC
Molecule: long non-coding RNA, 388 nt
Organism: Haplochromis burtoni (Burton's mouthbrooder)
Lineage: Eukaryota; Metazoa; Chordata; Actinopteri; Cichliformes; Cichlidae
Exons: 3
Source: RefSeq, a predicted model, not a curated record